This 183-nucleotide non-coding RNA is filed under the name Lachnospiraceae bacterium. RNAcentral describes it as "6S RNA". It matches the Rfam family "6S / SsrS RNA". Rfam says of the family: E. coli 6S RNA was the first non coding RNA to be sequenced, but its function was unknown until recently. It consists of 184 nucleotides that fold into an extended hairpin structure with a large single-stranded internal bulge. The record is from RNAcentral. Lineage: Bacteria; Bacillati; Bacillota; Clostridia; Lachnospirales; Lachnospiraceae.
AACCUCCUGAGGUGUUCGAUCAUCCUGUAUUUUUGAACCUACAUCACUUUAAACGGAACUCCAAUAUCUUUGAGCCUAUGUCAGGCCUCCUUAAUUGUCAGUGGAAGGCAGAAGCUCAUUUGAGGGCAUCCACCUAGCAAUUGCUAGGAGUCAAAAAACAGGAACCGGCACUUUGGGUACACA